RNAcentral lists this long non-coding RNA (2252 nucleotides) under Marmota monax (woodchuck). The record is from RNAcentral. Lineage: Eukaryota; Metazoa; Chordata; Mammalia; Rodentia; Sciuridae.
UGAACUCUACAAAGUUUGUGUAACUAAUGUUGAAGAAAGACGAAAUGAUCUAGAACCAAAAGAGAAAUUCUAACACAACUCAGGACACUUGUUUUCCAAUGUGAUCUUACCCUUAAAGCUGUGAGUGAUUUCUUCAGUAUUUUUGAAGACUAGAGAGGAGAAAAAAGCCUUCUUAUCUGUAGAAGGAAGAGGGAUACUUGAUAAGUUGAUUCUUAUGAGAUUUAAAUUCUGAGAGCAAUAGAGCAUGUUUAAAGAUUGGCUUUCAGUUUUCAUGAGUGACAUAGUUUGAUUUAUUUUUGAUCUGUCUCCCCUCUACAUCCCCUAGAUUCAUGAUUCUCUUAGUUUCAACUGAACUGUGAAAAUUUGAAAUUGCCUCUAAGCCACUUUUUUGCCUUGAUUGAUAAAUUUGAUUUGACCCUGUAACUUCUGUCAGCUGAGUGACAGAAGAGAGAUCUAGUCUUCAAAAUUUGAGUAAAAUAAAUAUUAAAAUUAAACCCAGUGAUAUAUUUGAAGACCUAGCAUUCAGCCUGCAUUUGUUUUCAUUACCUCUUUAAAAUGUUUUUUAUAAAAUAUUUACAUAUCCAAAACCUUCUUGGUGUAGUUUAUAAGUUUUAACACACAUAUAAAUUUGUGUAACUAUCACCAUAGUCAAGAUUUGGAACAAUUUCAUCACUUCAAUAAUAUUCUUUUUGCUGGGCACUGUAGUGUGUGCCUGUAAUUCCAAGGACACUGGAGCAGAAGGAUAGCAAGUUCAAGGCCAGCCUGGGGAUGUAAUUUAGUGAUAAAAAUACUCCUGGCUUCAAUCCCCAGUUUAAAACACACACACACACACACACACACACACACAUACACACACGUAUAUACUGUUGCGGCAGGUAUGGUGGCACACACCUGCCAUUCCAGCUACUCAGAAGGCGGAGGCUGGAGGAUCUCCAAGCCCGAGGCCAUCCUGGGCACUUAGUGAGAAUGUAUUUCAAAAUAAAUGGGCUCAGGGGCUGAGGUUGUGGAUCAGUGGUAGCGCACUUGCCUAGCAUGUGUGAGGCACUGGGUUCAAUUCUUGGUACCACAUAUAAAUAAAUGAAUAAAAUACAGGUCCAUCAACAUCUGAAAAAUGUUUAAAACAAAAAUGGGCUCAGGAAGUAUGUAGCUCAGUGGCAGAAUACCUGCCUAGCACGUGCAAGACCCUGCUGGGUUCAAUCCUCAGUGCCACAAAAAAAGUUCUUUCAUGCUACACCUUUAUAAUCAAACUCUCCCAUCUUGCCCUAACCCCUGGCAAGUUCAAUUGUGUUCUCAUCUCAUUACUUCAGUCUUUUCCAGAAGUUAUAUAAAUGUAAUCAUAUAGUAGGUAACCUUUGGAAACAGGCUUCUUUUACACAGCCUAAUGCCUUUGAAAUUCCUCAGUGUUAUGCAUGUAUCAACAGUCCAUUUCUUUGUGUUGUUGAACAGUAGUCCACUAUAUGACUACACCACAGUGUUUAUCCAUUUACAAAAAAAAAAAGUUGGAUAUUUGUGUUGUUUCUAGUUUGGGGCAAUUAUGCAUAGAGCUAUAUGAAUAUUUAUUUACAGGCUUUUGUUGAAUAUGUUUUUAUUAUUUUAAGUAACCUAGGAGUGGGUUUUACUGGUUAAUAUUGCUAAAUGCAUGUUUAACUCAAUAAGAAACUGCCAAACUAUUUUCCAGAGUGGUUGUAAUCAGUGGUGCAUGAGAAUUCCAGUUAUUCUGUGUCCUUGACAUUUGUCAUUUCUUGUUUUUACAUCUUAGCUAUUCUAACAGAUGGGUAGUAUUAUCUAAUUGUGGCUUCAAUUUGUGUUUCCAGAAUGACUGAUGAUAUUUUUAAAAAUGUUUAAAAGGCUCAUUUGUAAUCUGUACUUUUCCUAUCUAAUUUAAUUUUUUAUUGAGUUGUUUGUUUUCUGUUGUUGAGCUUCUCCCAUUCACAGCUUCUUUUUACAAUUUUAGCAAAGUCUUCCAUGGAGCAAAAGAUUUUAAUUUGGAUGGAGUCUAGCUUAUUUCUUCUUUUAUGGGUCAUGUUUUUGAUGUUAUAUCUAAGAAUAAAAUACUUCAUCUAACCCAAAGUUUUUUCCUAAAAGUUUUAUUUAUUUGUCUUAUUUAUUUAUUUAUUUAUUUACUUUUGAAUUAUGGAUUAAACCCAGGGGCUCUUUACCACUGAGCUACAUCCCCCAGUCCUUUUAUUUUUAAACAGUAUCUCACUAAGUUACUAAGGCUACACAUGAACUUGCAAGGAUCCUCCUGUAUG